GAUGAACGCUGGCGGCGUGCCUAAUACAUGCAAGUCGAGCGAACGGACGAGAAGCUUGCUUCUCUGUUGUUAGCGGCGGACGGGUGAGUAACCCGUGGAUAACCUCCCUAUAAGACUGGGAUAACUUCGGGAAACCGGAGCUAAUACCGGAUAAUAUUUUGAACCGCAUGGUUCAAAAGUGAAAGACGGUUUUGCUGUCCCUUAUAGAUGGAUCCGCGCUGCAUUAGCUAGUUGGUAAGGUAACGGCUUACCAAGGCAACGAUGCAUAGCCGACCUGAGAGGGUGAUCGGCCACACUGGAACUGAGACACGGUCCAGACUCCUACGGGAGGCAGCAGUAGGGAAUCUUCCGCAAUGGGCGAAAGCCUGACGGAGCAACGCCGCGUGAGUGAUGAAGGUCUUCGGAUCGUAAAACUCUGUUAUUAGGGAAGAACAUAUGUGUAAGUAACUGUGCACAUCUUGACGGUACCUAAUCAGAAAGCCACGGCUAACUACGUG
This 497-nucleotide ribosomal RNA is filed under the name uncultured bacterium. RNAcentral describes it as "partial 16S ribosomal RNA". It matches the Rfam family "Bacterial small subunit ribosomal RNA", at positions 28 to 507 of the family's 1533-position model. The record is from RNAcentral.